RNAcentral lists this ribosomal RNA (492 nucleotides) under uncultured bacterium. RNAcentral's name for it is "bacterial SSU rRNA". It matches the Rfam family "Bacterial small subunit ribosomal RNA", at positions 28 to 511 of the family's 1533-position model. The record is from RNAcentral.
GAUGAACGCUAGCUACAGGCUUAACACAUGCAAGUCGAGGGGCAGCACAGAGAUAGCUUGCUAUCUUGGGUGGCGACCGGCGCACGGGUGAGUAACGCGUAUCCAACCUGCCCAUUACUCAGGGAUAGCCUUGCGAAAGUAAGAUUAAUACCUGAUGUUGUUUGAUUGCCGCAUGACGAUCAAACCAAAGAUUUAUUGGUAAUGGAUGGGGAUGCGUGACAUUAGGUAGUUGGUGAGGUAACGGCUCACCAAGCCCACGAUGUCUAGGGGUUCUGAGAGGAAGGUCCCCCACACUGGAACUGAGACACGGUCCAGACUCCUACGGGAGGCAGCAGUGAGGAAUAUUGGUCAAUGGACGAGAGUCUGAACCAGCCAAGUAGCGUGCAGGAUGACGGCCCUCUGGGUUGUAAACUGCUUUUAGUGGAAUAAAAAGAGGGACGUGUCCCUAAUUGUAUGUACCAUCAGAAAAAGGACCGGCUAAUUCCGUGCCAG